AAACCCAGUGUGUUUCGACACACUAUCAUUAACUGAAUCCAUAGGUUAAUGAGGCGAACCGGGGGAACUGAAACAUCUAAGUACCCCGAGGAAAAGAAAUCAACCGAGAUUCCCCCAGUAGCGGCGAGCGAACGGGGAGCAGCCCAGAGCCUGAAUCAGUAUGUGUGUUAGUGGAAGCGUCUGGAAAGGCGCGCGAUACAGGGUGACAGCCCCGUACACAAAAAUGCACAUGCUGUGAGCUCGAUGAGUAGGGCGGGACACGUGGUAUCCUGUCUGAAUAUGGGGGGACCAUCCUCCAAGGCUAAAUACUCCUGACUGACCGAUAGUGAACCAGUACCGUGAGGGAAAGGCGAAAAGAACCCCGGCGAGGGGAGUGAAAAAGAACCUGAAACCGUGUACGUACAAGCAGUGGGAGCACGCUUAGGCGUGUGACUGCGUACCUUUUGUAUAAUGGGUCAGCGACUUAUAUUCUGUAGCAAGGUUAACCGAAUAGGGGAGCCGAAGGGAAACCGAGUCUUAACUGGGCGUUAAGUUGCAGGGUAUAGACCCGAAACCCGGUGAUCUAGCCAUGGGCAGGUUGAAGGUUGGGUAACACUAACUGGAGGACCGAACCGACUAAUGUUGAAAAAUUAGCGGAUGACUUGUGGCUGGGGGUGAAAGGCCAAUCAAACCGGGAGAUAGCUGGUUCUCCCCGAAAGCUAUUUAGGUAGCGCCUCGUGAAUUCAUCUCCGGGGGUAG
This 738-nucleotide ribosomal RNA is filed under the name Escherichia coli. RNAcentral describes it as "partial 23S ribosomal RNA". It matches the Rfam family "Bacterial large subunit ribosomal RNA", at positions 124 to 905 of the family's 2925-position model. The record is from RNAcentral. Lineage: Bacteria; Pseudomonadati; Pseudomonadota; Gammaproteobacteria; Enterobacterales; Enterobacteriaceae.